GCUGGGCACAGUGGCCCAUGCCUGUAAUCCCAGUGGCUUGGGAGGCAGAGGCAGGAGGAUGAUGAGUUCAAAACCAGCCUCAACAAAGGUGAGGCAUUAAACAACUCAGUGAGACCCUGUCUCUA
Molecule: small RNA, 125 nt
Filed under: Marmota monax (woodchuck)
Lineage: Eukaryota; Metazoa; Chordata; Mammalia; Rodentia; Sciuridae
Source: RNAcentral